Molecule: ribosomal RNA, 453 nt
Filed under: uncultured marine bacterium
Lineage: Bacteria
Description: bacterial SSU rRNA
Rfam family: Bacterial small subunit ribosomal RNA
Source: RNAcentral
AAUAUUGCGCAAUGGACGAAAGUCUGACGCAGCGACGCCGCGUGGAGGAUGAAGGUUUUCGGAUCGUAAACUCCUGUCAAGAGGGAAGAAACCUAUUAAGAAUAAUACUCUUAGUAAUUGACGGUACCUCUAGAGGAAGCACCGGCUAAUUCAGUGCCAGCAGCCGCGGUAAUACUGAAGGUGCAAGCGUUAAUCGGAAUCACUGGGCGUAAAGCGCUCGUAGGUGGCUUUGUAAGUCAGAUGUGAAAGCCCACGGCUCAACCGUGGAAUUGCAUUUGAUACUGCAUCGCUAGAGUAUAGGAGAGGGAAGUGGAAUUUCUGGUGCAGGAGUGAAAUCCGUAGAGAUCAGAAGGAACACCGGUGGCGAAGGCGACUUCCUGGACUAUUACUGACACUGAGGAGCGAAAGCGUGGGGAGCAAACAGGAUUAGAUACCCUGGUAGUCCACGCCGUA